UAGCCAUGACUUGGACCAACUGAGGUCCAAGAUCGAUUCAUGCAAAAAUAUGUUGAUUGAAAACGUAAGAAUAUAAUCUGAACACUCAGGAAUACCUUUUCACCAAAAUUAAAGAGCUCGAAUUUUCAAACAAUGAAAAAGAUAACGAACUUGUCAAUCUGAAAAAUUCACACAAACAAGAUAAGCUCGAGCUGUUAAACAACUUUACUAAAAUCCGAGAAGAACAUCUCAAACAAGUCAGUGAAAUGUUCAAUCAGCACAAGACCGCAAUCUCAAAGUACGAAAAAGACAUGAAAACUUUGAAAAACUCCCUCGAACAAUCCAACAAGGAGAACAAAGUCCUCACUACACAAAUCAUGACCUGCAGGUAAUGUCAGUUUACGAAUUCAGAAAAGAGGUCGAAGCUUGUCAAGAUAGGAUUCUCACUAAGACGGUUCUUCUCCGUCCUCGCAGACUUAUCGACAUGUCAAACCAACAAAAAAAUUCAAAAGUCGAGUUCAACGAAUUUAAAUCCAACGUGUCUUGGCAAUUCCAACACUACCGACGGAUCCUCGCGGAGUUUUCGGAAAAGUUCAGUCAGACACGUGCCAAAGUCACUCAAAUGGAAAAACACGCAACUUUUCAAAACAACAAAAUCGUCGCACUCAGGAAAGAAAGUUGUAAAUUGGAAAGACUUAA
Long non-coding RNA from Octopus sinensis (East Asian common octopus), 678 nucleotides. RefSeq lists it as uncharacterized. NCBI's taxonomy places the organism in Eukaryota, Metazoa, Mollusca, Cephalopoda, Octopoda, Octopodidae. The transcript has 2 exons. The record is from RefSeq and is a predicted model, not a curated record.